UGAACGCUGGCGGUAGGCCUAACACAUGCAAGUCGAACGGCAGCACAGUAAGAGCUUGCUCUUACGGGUGGCGAGUGGCGGACGGGUGAGGAAUACAUCGGAAUCUACUUUUUCGUGGGGGAUAACGUAGGGAAACUUACGCUAAUACCGCAUACGACCUACGGGUGAAAGCAGGGGAUCUUCGGACCUUGCGCGAUUGAAUGAGCCGAUGUCGGAUUAGCUAGUUGGCGGGGUAAAGGCCCACCAAGGCGACGAUCCGUAGCUGGUCUGAGAGGAUGAUCAGCCACACUGGAACUGAGACACGGUCCAGACUCCUACGGGAGGCAGCAGUGGGGAAUAUUGGACAAUGGGCGCAAGCCUGAUCCAGCCACACCGCGUGGGUGAAGAAGGCCUUCGGGUUGUAAAGCCCUUUUGUUGGGAAAGAAAAGCAGCAGGUUAAUACCCCGCUGUUCUGACGGUACCCAAAGAAUAAGCACCGGCUAACUUCGUG
This 490-nucleotide ribosomal RNA is filed under the name uncultured bacterium. RNAcentral describes it as "partial 16S ribosomal RNA". It matches the Rfam family "Bacterial small subunit ribosomal RNA", at positions 30 to 507 of the family's 1533-position model. The record is from RNAcentral.